UCUAACCCGCAAGGGAGGGGGACGCCUAAGGCAGGGCUGAUGACUGGGGUGAAGUCGUAACAAGGUAGCCGUACCGGAAGGUGUGGCUGGAUCACCUCCUUUUAAGGAGACCCAAUCUGUUCAGGUCGCAACGUCACCUUAUUAGAACAGAUUCAAUGCGGUCUAAGCACGAGGUUGACCUUGGCUUUCAAACUCUGCUAGGUUAAGCAGACAGGCAUGGGCU
This 223-nucleotide unclassified non-coding RNA is filed under the name uncultured cyanobacterium. Its description in RNAcentral is "partial contains 16S ribosomal RNA and 16S-23S ribosomal RNA intergenic spacer". The stretch from base 1 to 102 matches the Rfam family "Bacterial small subunit ribosomal RNA", at positions 1434 to 1533 of the family's 1533-position model. The record is from RNAcentral. Lineage: Bacteria; Bacillati; Cyanobacteriota.